This 74-nucleotide transfer RNA is filed under the name Candidatus Nomurabacteria bacterium RIFCSPLOWO2_01_FULL_33_24. RNAcentral describes it as "tRNA-Gly". It matches the Rfam family "tRNA". Rfam says of the family: Transfer RNA (tRNA) molecules are approximately 80 nucleotides in length. Their secondary structure includes four short double-helical elements and three loops (D, anti-codon, and T loops). Lineage: Bacteria; Candidatus Nomuraibacteriota. The record is from RNAcentral.
GCGGGUAUGGUUUAGUGGUAGAAUAACUGCCUUCCAAGCAGUAGACGAGAGUUCGAUUCUCUCUACCCGCACCA